Molecule: long non-coding RNA, 424 nt
Organism: Carassius gibelio (silver crucian carp)
Lineage: Eukaryota; Metazoa; Chordata; Actinopteri; Cypriniformes; Cyprinidae
Exons: 2
Source: RefSeq, a predicted model, not a curated record
ACUCCAGGCCCAAGGACCUCCUUCAGUUUGCCUUUUCCCUCCAAAAAACGCUAUGAGUUCAAGGUCAGGGCUCGUAUAGGGUUAUUAUGUGGAGAGUCCAAGUUUUGGAGUGACUGGAGUGAGCCUGUCUACUGGGGAUCUUAAAAGACCUACGACACCUCAGAAAACAUCUUAAGGAAUAACAGCACUUUAGGCACGCUGCAGUAAAUCCCAUCAGACUGCUCAACAGUGCCUACUGUGGCUUCAACACCUGUCUUCUGCACACACACAAAAAAAUUAUUCUCAUAUUAGGCUUUUGUUUAACUGCAUAAAACAAAUUCCAUAUUUGCAUUUGUAUCUGUGAAAUGUAAUAACACAGCUUACAUAACCCCUAUCACAACUUAUUUCUGUAUAUCAGUCUUAAUACAACUCUUGUUUAAAUUCA